RNAcentral lists this ribosomal RNA (576 nucleotides) under Triticum aestivum (bread wheat). RNAcentral describes it as "partial small subunit ribosomal RNA". Lineage: Eukaryota; Viridiplantae; Streptophyta; Magnoliopsida; Poales; Poaceae. The record is from RNAcentral.
AUGUCUCAGCACUUCAAUCUGCCGGCGGAGGAAGCGCCUGCCGAUCUUCUAAACAGUGGGCGCCAAUGGUUAGAAUCCACCGCUGUCAUGCCGCCGCCGGAUGGUCUCGGUCUCGGAAUCCCCUGCCCGGAGAAGAACAGCUGCUGCGAGACGGAGGCGCUGGACUGUAAUAACCAGCCGACACCUUCUUCAGAUUCAGUUAUCCUCUGGGACGACACGGAGGGCAAGAUUAGUCCGUCAGCCACCUUGGAUGACGCAGGUUCAGAUCGUACCCGCAGCGCAUCUCCUCCUCGCAGCCAUGUUUCUACUGCUGCUGCUGCUGCCACGGAUGAUGGCAUUGCCAUCGGCCCCGCUGCGGUUUGCCCGCCUGCUCCGGUGGCCGCACCACCAAGGGUCCCAUGCGAAGCGUGGUGGAAGAAGACCUUCUCGUUUCUGGGCAGCAACGCCAGGGAGUCUCUCACCUUCCGCUUUGUCUUCGUCGCCGACAAGCUGCAGCUCAGGCUUGAAUUCGGUGUCGACGGCCAGGUGAAAGAAUGCCAUUUGCGUAGUCAAAUAGACCAUGCUAUUAUUGUGUAG